Molecule: ribosomal RNA, 423 nt
Filed under: Diplolaimelloides environmental sample
Lineage: Eukaryota; Metazoa; Nematoda; Chromadorea; Monhysterida; Monhysteridae
Description: SSU rRNA
Rfam family: Eukaryotic small subunit ribosomal RNA
Source: RNAcentral
AUBACGAAGGCACACCAGGGUGGGCUGCGSUUAAUUGACUCAACACGGGAAAUCAUCCGUCCGACACCGUGAGAUUGACAGAUUGAGAGCUCUUUCUUGAUUUGGUGGCCAGUGGUUGCAUGCCCGUWCUUAGUUGGUGGAGUGAUUUGUCUGGUUUAUUCCGAUAACGAACGAGACUCUGGCCUACUAACUAGUUGCGCGAUUUUUCUGUCGUGCCAACUUCUUAGAGGGACAAGCGGUGCUCAGCCGCAUGAAAAAGAGCCAAUAACAGGUCUGUGAUSCCCUUCGAUGUUCGGAGCCGCACGCGCGCUACACUGUGAGUGGCAGCAUGUUGGUUUGCCUCGCUCGCAAGMSYGGGGUAAUCGGUUGAAAAUCUAACGURAUUGGGAUAGGGAAUUGUAAUUAUUUCCCUUGAACGAGAAA